CCUACGGGUGACAGCAGUGGGGAAUAUUGCACAAUGGGGGGAACCCUGAUGCAGCGACGCCGCGUGAAGGAAGAAGGCUUUCGGGUUGUAAACUUCUUUUAAGAGGGAAGAGCAGAAGACGGUACCUCUUGAAUAAGCCACGGCUAACUACGUGCCAGCAGCUGCGGUAAUACGUAGGUGGCAAGCGUUAUCCGGAUUUACUGGGUGUAAAGGGAGCGUAGACGGCAGCGCAAGUCUGGAGUGAAAUCCCAUGGCUUAACCAUGGAACUGCUUUGGAAACUGUGCAGCUGGAGUGCAGGAGAGGUAAGCGGAAUUCCUAGUGUAGCGGUGAAAUGCGUAGAUAUUAGGAGGAACACCAGUGGCGAAGGCGGCUUACUGGACUGUAACUGACGUUGAGGCUCGAAAGCGUGGGGAGCAAACAGGAUUAGAUACCCCAGUAGUC
Molecule: ribosomal RNA, 442 nt
Filed under: uncultured bacterium
Lineage: Bacteria
Description: partial 16S ribosomal RNA
Rfam family: Bacterial small subunit ribosomal RNA
Source: RNAcentral